UGGUCAUUGACUGCAGGCAUAUAAGUGAUUUAUAGAUGAAAGGAGCUCAAUCCUCUUCUCUUUUGUCCUUAAGAAGGAUUUAAGAGCGAGACACAGUCAGGUGCAAUUGUGGACGAAGUCCAAUAGGACGAAACGCAUAGGGCGGAGAGACCCAUUCAGCACUUGAACUUCAACUGGUUUUUAUUUAUUUAUUAAAUCCCUCUU
Pelobates cultripes (western spadefoot toad) is the source of this 204-nucleotide non-coding RNA. Lineage: Eukaryota; Metazoa; Chordata; Amphibia; Anura; Pelobatidae. The record is from the annotation of a GenBank genome assembly.